Molecule: ribosomal RNA, 506 nt
Filed under: uncultured bacterium
Lineage: Bacteria
Description: partial 16S ribosomal RNA
Rfam family: Bacterial small subunit ribosomal RNA
Source: RNAcentral
GAUGAACGCUAGCUACAGGCUUAACACAUGCAAGUCGAGGGGUAACGAGAGGAAAGCUUGCUUUCCUUGUCGACGACCGGCGCACGGGUGAGUAACGCGUAUCCAACCUGCCCCCAACUAGGGAAUAACCUUGCGAAAGUAAGACUAAUACCCUAUAAUUUCCUCAGAUGUCAUCUGACGAGGAAUAAAGAUUUAUCGGUUGUGGAUGGGGAUGCGUCUGAUUAGCUGGUUGGCGGGGUAACGGCCCACCAAGGCAACGAUCAGUAGGGGUUCUGAGAGGAAGGUCCCCCACAUUGGAACUGAGACACGGUCCAAACUCCUACGGGAGGCAGCAGUGAGGAAUAUUGGGCAAUGGGCGGAAGCCUGAAUCAGCCAAGUAGCGUGCAGGAUGUCGGGCCUUUGGGUUGUAAACUGCUUUUAUGCAGGAAUAAAGUUAGCCACGUGUGGUUAUUUGUAGGUACUGUAUGAAUAAGGACCGGCUAAUUCCGUGCCAGCCGCCGCGGUAA